RNAcentral lists this microRNA (20 nucleotides) under Bos taurus (domestic cattle). RNAcentral's name for it is "bta-miR-2405". The record is from miRBase by way of RNAcentral. Lineage: Eukaryota; Metazoa; Chordata; Mammalia; Artiodactyla; Bovidae.
UGUGUGGUUUGUUUGGCCUC